AGCGUACACGGUGGAUGCCCUGGCAGUCAGAGGCGAUGAAGGACGUGCUAAUCUGCGAUAAGCGUCGGUAAGGUGAUAUGAACCGUUAUAACCGGCGAUUUCCGAAUGGGGAAACCCAGUGUGUUUCGACACACUAUCAUUAACUGAAUCCAUAGGUUAAUGAGGCGAACCGGGGGAACUGAAACAUCUAAGUACCCCGAGGAAAAGAAAUCAACCGAGAUUCCCCCAGUAGCGGCGAGCGAACGGGGAGCAGCCCAGAGUCUGAAUCAGUGUGUGUGUUAGUGGAAGCGUCUGGAAAGGCGCGCGAUACAGGGUGACAGCCCCGUACACAAAAAUGCACAUACUGUGAGCUCGAUGAGUAGGGCGGGACACGUGGUAUCCUGUCUGAAUAUGGGGGGACCAUCCUCCAAGGCUAAAUACUCCUGACUGACCGAUAGUGAACCAGUACCGUGAGGGAAAGGCGAAAAGAACCCCGGCGAGGGGAGUGAAAAAGAACCUGAAACCGUGUACGUACAAGCAGUGGGAGCACGCUUAGGCGUGUGACUGCGUACCUUUUGUAUAAUGGGUCAGCGACUUAUAUUCUGUAGCAAGGUUAACCGAAUAGGGGAGCCGAAGGGAAACCGAGUCUUAACUGGGCGUUAAGUUGCAGGGUAUAGACCCGAAACCCGGUGAUCUAGCCAUGGGCAGGUUGAAGGUUGGGUAACACUAACUGGAGGACCGAACCGACUAAUGUUGAAAAAUUAGCGGAUGACUUGUGGCUGGGGGUGAAAGGCCAAUCAAACCGGGAGAUAGCUGGUUCUCCCCGAAAGCUAUUUAGGUAGCGCCUCGUGAACUCAUCUCCGGGGGUAGAGCACUGUUUCGGCAAGGGGGUCAUCCCGACUUACCAACCCGAUGCAAACUGCGAAUACCGGAGAAUGUUAUCACGGGAGACACACGGCGGGUGCUAACGUCCGUCGUGAAGAGGGAAACAACCCAGACCGCCAGCUAAGGUCCCAAAGUCAUGGUUAAGUGGGAAACGAUGUGGGAAGGCCCAGACAGCCAGGAUGUUGGCUUAGAAGCAGCCAUCAUUUAAAGAAAGCGUAAUAGCUCACUGGUCGAGUCGGCCUGCGCGGAAGAUGUAACGGGGCUAAACCAUGCACCGAAGCUGCGGCAGCGACGCUUAUGCGUUGUUGGGUAGGGGAGCGUUCUGUAAGCCUGCGAAGGUGUGCUGUGAGGCAUGCUGGAGGUAUCAGAAGUGCGAAUGCUGACAUAAGUAACGAUAAAGCGGGUGAAAAGCCCGCUCGCCGGAAGACCAAGGGUUCCUGUCCAACGUUAAUCGGGGCAGGGUGAGUCGACCCCUAAGGCGAGGCCGAAAGGCGUAGUCGAUGGGAAACAGGUUAAUAUUCCUGUACUUGGUGUUACUGCGAAGGGGGGACGGAGAAGGCUAUGUUGGCCGGGCGACGGUUGUCCCGGUUUAAGCGUGUAGGCUGGUUUUCCAGGCAAAUCCGGAAAAUCAAGGCUGAGGCGUGAUGACGAGGCACUACGGUGCUGAAGCAACAAAUGCCCUGCUUCCAGGAAAAGCCUCUAAGCAUCAGGUAACAUCAAAUCGUACCCCAAACCGACACAGGUGGUCAGGUAGAGAAUACCAAGGCGCUUGAGAGAACUCGGGUGAAGGAACUAGGCAAAAUGGUGCCGUAACUUCGGGAGAAGGCACGCUGAUAUGUAGGUGAAGCGACUUGCUCGUGGAGCUGAAAUCAGUCGAAGAUACCAGCUGGCUGCAACUGUUUAUUAAAAACACAGCACUGUGCAAACACGAAAGUGGACGUAUACGGUGUGACGCCUGCCCGGUGCCGGAAGGUUAAUUGAUGGGGUCAGCGCAAGCGAAGCUCUUGAUCGAAGCCCCGGUAAACGGCGGCCGUAACUAUAACGGUCCUAAGGUAGCGAAAUUCCUUGUCGGGUAAGUUCCGACCUGCACGAAUGGCGUAAUGAUGGCCAGGCUGUCUCCACCCGAGACUCAGUGAAAUUGAACUCGCUGUGAAGAUGCAGUGUACCCGCGGCAAGACGGAAAGACCCCGUGAACCUUUACUAUAGCUUGACACUGAACAUUGAGCCUUGAUGUGUAGGAUAGGUGGGAGGCUUUGAAGUGUGGACGCCAGUCUGCAUGGAGCCGACCUUGAAAUACCACCCUUUAAUGUUUGAUGUUCUAACGUUGACCCGUAAUCCGGGUUGCGGACAGUGUCUGGUGGGUAGUUUGACUGGGGCGGUCUCCUCCUAAAGAGUAACGGAGGAGCACGAAGGUUGGCUAAUCCUGGUCGGACAUCAGGAGGUUAGUGCAAUGGCAUAAGCCAGCUUGACUGCGAGCGUGACGGCGCGAGCAGGUGCGAAAGCAGGUCAUAGUGAUCCGGUGGUUCUGAAUGGAAGGGCCAUCGCUCAACGGAUAAAAGGUACUCCGGGGAUAACAGGCUGAUACCGCCCAAGAGUUCAUAUCGACGGCGGUGUUUGGCACCUCGAUGUCGGCUCAUCACAUCCUGGGGCUGAAGUAGGUCCCAAGGGUAUGGCUGUUCGCCAUUUAAAGUGGUACGCGAGCUGGGUUUAGAACGUCGUGAGACAGUUCGGUCCCUAUCUGCCGUGGGCGCUGGAGAACUGAGGGGGGCUGCUCCUAGUACGAGAGGACCGGAGUGGACGCAUCACUGGUGUUCGGGUUGUCAUGCCAAUGGCACUGCCCGGUAGCUAAAUGCGGAAGAGAUAAGUGCUGAAAGCAUCUAAGCACGAAACUUGCCCCGAGAUGAGUUCU
This 2773-nucleotide ribosomal RNA is filed under the name Escherichia coli. RNAcentral describes it as "bacterial LSU rRNA". It matches the Rfam family "Bacterial large subunit ribosomal RNA". Lineage: Bacteria; Pseudomonadati; Pseudomonadota; Gammaproteobacteria; Enterobacterales; Enterobacteriaceae. The record is from RNAcentral.